This is a non-coding RNA of Anoplopoma fimbria (sablefish), 637 nucleotides long. The record is from the annotation of a RefSeq genome assembly. NCBI's taxonomy places the organism in Eukaryota, Metazoa, Chordata, Actinopteri, Perciformes, Anoplopomatidae.
AUGACAUCUCCAAGGCUUUCCUCCUAUGUGACAUGGUUGUUCUUGUGGAAAAUGGCUCAUGCGACUGAUCAGAAAUUUUCCUCAUUGGUGCAUCAAGACAGAGGUUUUGUUGGCUAAUGUUGGAGACACAAUGACUUUGCGGUGUUUCUAUAAUAAUGAUGACCCAGCAUGGCUUUACUGGUAUAAGCAACCGCUGGGACAGAACCUAAAUCUGAUCUCCACCGUCUAUGCGUGUGAUAAAACACACGUUUUUUAUCAUGAAUUCCAGAACAAUCCACGCUUCACACUGGAUACUAAAAACAGAUCAAAGCACUUGACAAUUUUGGAUUUGCACAUUUCAGACUCAGCAAUCUACUACUGCGCAAUUAGCACUUAAUUUAUGUUUACUUUUGCCGAGGGCACUGUUCUCAGUGUACAGGGUUCAGGUUUUAAAGUCCCGGCUUUGGUCCACCAGUCAGCAUCUGAGACCAUCCAGCCAGGAGGCUCUGUGACUCUGAACUGUACAGUUCACACUGGGACCUGUGAUGAACAACUCAAUGUUAACUGGUUCAAAGACUCUGAAGAAUCUCAUCCAGGACUCAUUUACACCCAUGGAGGCAGGAAUGAUCAGUGUGAGAGGAAACCCAACACAAAAUGA